Long non-coding RNA from Phlebotomus papatasi, 288 nucleotides. RefSeq lists it as uncharacterized. The transcript is spliced from 2 exons. The record is from RefSeq and is a predicted model, not a curated record. NCBI's taxonomy places the organism in Eukaryota, Metazoa, Arthropoda, Insecta, Diptera, Psychodidae.
UUCUUAAAAAUUUACUAUACUUUUUAUAUGUAUUUCAGAUGAGGAAACUGCUUUAAGCUACACUUCAACUGUGAUGUCCAAAUGGGGAAAAAAUAUUUCCCUCUUGCUGAAUUGAAAGAUAAAUGGGCGAUUUUGGUCACUUCAUACGCUUGCAAAUUGAUUAAUUUUGAUUGUGAGGAGUUGUAUGCUGAUUGCAAGCCUCUCGUGCCUCUCGUGAGUUCAAAAAGAUUUCUCAAUAUACAAUUUCCCAGUUGAAAAUUUUCGAAGAGGAAGAGAAGCCCACCGAUC